AUCCUAUUAGCUCAAUUGGUUAGAGUAUCAUGUUAUUAAUGUGAAAUUUAUAAUUUUGUAUGUUCAAGUCCUACAUAGACUA
This 82-nucleotide transfer RNA is filed under the name Nelumbo nucifera (sacred lotus). It matches the Rfam family "tRNA". From Rfam's summary of the family: Transfer RNA (tRNA) molecules are approximately 80 nucleotides in length. Their secondary structure includes four short double-helical elements and three loops (D, anti-codon, and T loops). Further hydrogen bonds mediate the characteristic L-shaped molecular structure. tRNAs have two regions of fundamental functional importance: the anti-codon, which is responsible for specific mRNA codon recognition, and the 3' end, to which the tRNAs corresponding amino acid is attached (by aminoacyl-tRNA synthetases). tRNAs cope with the degeneracy of the genetic code in two manners: having more than one tRNA (with a specific anti-codon) for a particular amino acid; and 'wobble' base-pairing, i.e. permitting non-standard base-pairing at the 3rd anti-codon position. Lineage: Eukaryota; Viridiplantae; Streptophyta; Magnoliopsida; Proteales; Nelumbonaceae. The record is from Rfam by way of RNAcentral.